Long non-coding RNA from Triplophysa rosa, 1478 nucleotides. RefSeq lists it as uncharacterized. Lineage: Eukaryota; Metazoa; Chordata; Actinopteri; Cypriniformes; Nemacheilidae. The transcript has 3 exons. The record is from RefSeq and is a predicted model, not a curated record.
GCCUUUAUUUAAUCACUCGUUGAUUUAUUCAUUCGCGCAUAAGAUACAUGUCAACCUCAUAAAAACAUGUCCAAACAUGCCCCGUAAAAGAGAGAAAAAUGUUCGAUAAACGUACGGGCAAAAGUUCAACUCCAGACGCGGACAAUCCCUCACCACGUCGACAGAUACUGUCAAAGGGCAAAAGUUCAACACAAAGGGGCGGUACCACACUAAGGGGCGGAUACGGUCAAAGGUCAAUGCAAAGUGGGCAGGCCCUCGCGACGUGGGUGGUCCGGAAGUAAUUCAACCCCCCCGCAAAGGUCAAGGUCACCAUCAAUCAUACCUGUCAAUCAUUUUGACACAAUGACCCCCAUAUAUACUACUUUCGUGCAGUUCAUGACAGUUGCUCCAGUGGCAUCAUGGGAUAGAGAAGUGUCCAUCUGAUGCACACUCAAGAAUUUCGGUAGAAGUAAUUGACCAUUUGGGUAUUUCUUGCCUACUUUUUUUGCAUACUGCGGUUUCGGACAUACUAUUCAUGACUCAUACUCUUUUUCGGCUACGAUGUAGUAUAGAAGUAGGCGAGUCUUAACACUCACAGACUAGCAAUUAGUUAGGACUAAUCAGUCUUACUUUUCAUAUUUCAAUAAGACCAAUCUACCUUUUUUAUUGACCUGACUUGAAGUUAUGACCAGUCUUGAAGAAAAAAAUUAGGUGACUAACUUUUAAGACCAGUCUAAGCAGUUUAUGCAACCAGCCCCUGGCCAUCAACCUUAAGGUCAUAUCAUCAUAAUUUCGUACCGUAGUUUAACAUCAUAACACAUGUGCCUGUGUAGCGUGGACAUUGAUCUAAGCAGUGUUUGUAUAUUAAUACAAUAUAUGAUUCUCGAUCCAUCAGCUUCCUGUGUUUUGAGAGUUCCAGCUCAAGAUCAGGUUCUUCAAAGAAGAACAAAGUCAUAAAACUGGUGGACAUCACAGAUAUCCAGAAGUACAAGGUUUUGUCAGUUUUGCCUGGAUCUGGAAUGGGCAUCUCUAUUGCCACGCCGUCAACACAGAAGCCACUUGUGUUUGGUGCAAUGAUUCACAGAGAUGAGGCCUUUGAGACAAUCUUUACGCAGUACAUGAAGAUCAUGACCACAGCCAACCCUGAGACGUAACUCACUCUUUAUUCUUCAAGAGGACGUCUCAUUUUGCCAGGACCAUUUUCUUUGGUCUCGUUUACUUUGACUGUGAUCUGAGAACUGUCAGCAUUGAUCUGACAUGCAGGAGCGAGAGUAAGAGCAUACAUUCCUUUGACACUGACAUUUCUUAUUGGAGGAAUGUGGGCAGCUUUGCGUCAUGUGACUUUGACAGUUUUUGGCUUUCAAAAAGUUUACAGACUUUGUGUUACUGUAUGUACUUGUCUCUCCCAGUGAUUCAUGUUUCCACACUUUUAUCCUGGUACAUGUAAGGGGGGUGUUUUGUUAAGGAAUUUGAUUGUACAUUCUUUAACACUUCAGAAA